This 331-nucleotide unclassified non-coding RNA is filed under the name soil metagenome. RNAcentral describes it as "partial contains 5.8S ribosomal RNA, internal transcribed spacer 2, and large subunit ribosomal RNA". The stretch from base 4 to 119 matches the Rfam family "5.8S ribosomal RNA", at positions 39 to 154 of the family's 154-position model. The record is from RNAcentral.
GAUAAGAACGCAGCGAAAUGCGAUAAGUAAUGUGAAUUGCAGAAUUCAGUGAAUCAUCGAAUCUUUGAACGCACAUUGCGCCCUUUGGUAUUCCUUAGGGCAUGCCUGUUCGAGCGUCAUUUAAACCUUCAAGCUAAGCUUGGUGUUGGGUGACUGUCCGCUUCACUGCGGACUCGCCUCAAAAUUAUUGGCGGCCGGUACAUUGGCUUCGAGCGCAGCAGAAACGCGAACUCGGGCCCGUCGUAUUGGCUCCCAGAAGCUAUCUUCACAAUUUUGACCUCGGAUCAGGUAGGGAUACCCGCUGAACUUAAGCAUAUCAAUAAGCGGAGGA